Molecule: unclassified non-coding RNA, 21 nt
Filed under: Mus musculus (house mouse)
Lineage: Eukaryota; Metazoa; Chordata; Mammalia; Rodentia; Muridae
Description: oocyte_clustered_small_RNA10696
Source: RNAcentral
UCGCCAUGGCCGCCGUCACCU